Molecule: ribosomal RNA, 812 nt
Filed under: uncultured Planctomycetota bacterium
Lineage: Bacteria; Pseudomonadati; Planctomycetota
Description: bacterial SSU rRNA
Rfam family: Bacterial small subunit ribosomal RNA
Source: RNAcentral
GGAUUAGGCAUGCAAGUCGCACGAGAAAGGGUCAUUCGGGAUCCGAGUAGAGUGGCGGAAGGGUGAGUAAUGCCUAGAUAACCUGCCCUCGUAUUGGGGAUAACAGCUGGAAACGGCUGCUAAUACCGAAUGAAGCCGGAAGGCCGCAUGUCCCUCCGGUGAAAGGUGGGGAUCUUUCGGGACCUGCCGGACGAGGAGGGGUCUAGGUCCUAUCAGCUAGUUGGUGGGGUAACGGCCCACCAAGGCGAUGACGGGUAGCCGACCUGAGAGGGUGACCGGCCACACUGGGACUGAGACACUGCCCAGACUCCUACGGGAGGCUGCAGUCGAGAAUCUUCGGCAAUGGGCGCAAGCCUGACCGAGCGACGCCGCGUGGAGGAUGAAGGCCUUCGGGUUGUAAACUCCUGUCACGGGUUAUGAAACCCACGGGUGCUAAUACCGCCCGUGGCUGACAAAGGCCCGAGAGGAAGUCAUGGCUAACUCUGUGCCAGCAGCCGCGGUAAUACAGAGAUGGCAAGCGUUGUUCGGAAUCACUGGGCAUAAAGGGCACGUAGGCGGCUUCGUAAGUCGGGUGUGAAAUCCCUCGGCUCAACCGAGGAACUGCGCCUGAUACUGCGGGGCUUGAGGGCAGGAGGGGAGAGUGGAACUCUUGGUGGAGCGGUGAAAUGCGUAGAUACUAAGAGGAACGCCGGUGGCGAAAGCGACUCUCUGGCCUGCUUCUGACGGUGAGGUGCGAAAGCUAGGGGAGCAAACAGGAUUAGAUACCCUGGUAGUCCUAGCUGUAAACGAUGGGCACUAAGUAGAGGGGUUUU